RNAcentral lists this long non-coding RNA (1271 nucleotides) under Brassica napus (rape). RNAcentral's name for it is "long non-coding RNA (BNAP_LNC026535)". The record is from RNAcentral. Lineage: Eukaryota; Viridiplantae; Streptophyta; Magnoliopsida; Brassicales; Brassicaceae.
UUAGUUAAAAAUGUAAAAAAAAAUAUAAUUUUAUAUAUACUCAGAAGUCAUUUAAAUGUGAACUGAAUCCUUUAAAAUUUUAAAUUCCUCAAUUUUGAAGUUAACUUCUACAUUACAUUUUUAAAAUUUAUAUCUAAUAAUCUAAAUUAUCUGAAAACUAUGAACCAAAUACCUAGAAAUAACAACUUAAUGAUAAUAACAAAAUACAUAUAAUGCCAUAAUGGUAGAGGAUGCAUGUGUCACAAAGAAAAAAGAAAACAAAGUCGGGAACAAAAAAAGAGAAGAUAAAAGCAAGAUACUUUAGUGAAAUUUUCUCAUUGGUCUAUUUCUUUUGACAAGAAUAACUGUCUUAACCAUUGAUCAAUUUGAUCUAAUGGCUCAUAUUACUUCCUUCCUUUUUCUCUCGUUCUCCCAUGUACCUUUUCCUCUGUAAACAAGUAUUUCUCUUUCUUCUACAAACGAUUCUCUUCCUCUUAACACAAACAAAUCGAUUUCAUCUAUUCUGGUCACCUAAUUCCUUUCUUCUACUCCACUCACAUAAUCUUUUCAGCAACCACUAUCGUAUUUUAUCAAACCGAAUCUCUUCCUUCUGCCAUCACCAGAUCUCCUUCACUGUCUACCAAAUCUACUCCUACGAUACGAUGUUGUUGUUGCGCCUGAGACUGGUGUGAGAUGCAGUUAUCGUCGGAGUUGUUCUUGCACACGGAGAUUCGAUGUUUGGCAUCAGAUCUAGAUCGUACAAACAUCUCGGCUCACCGAUCUGGUAUGGAGACAAUCUGGAUGAGACAUUCCGCAUGUAGUGACGAGGCGGAGGAGUGACGAACCAGAGGCAAGGUGUGACGAACUGGAGGCUGAAGCGGAGGCGUGACGAACCGCAGGCAGAGGCGCGACUAACCGAAUGCAGAGGCGUGACGAAUUGAGGCAGUGAUGUGACAAACCAGAGGCUGAGGCGGAGCUGUGCCAGCGAAGUUAAAUCUCCAGUCAAGCUCACGCUUGUGUAUAUGUGUGUAUAUAUGUUAUAUGUAUGAUAUAUAAAUAUGUAUAAGACACCAUAUAUACGAAAAACAUAUUUGUAUUGUUUUUUAAUUCAUUAAUUCUUAAUUUACUAAUUAUUUUUUUUUUAUUUUUUUUUAAUAAAUAGUUACGGAAUAGUCACAAACAUUAAGCGUGACAAAUAUAAACCACGAAAAAUAACAGUGUCAAAAACGUGACUGUUUUAUACACAUUUAGUCAUGGUAAAUUUUGGUCACGAUCGUAUACACACGAAAUUU